Molecule: long non-coding RNA, 719 nt
Filed under: Anas platyrhynchos platyrhynchos (common mallard)
Lineage: Eukaryota; Metazoa; Chordata; Aves; Anseriformes; Anatidae
Description: lncRNA (ENSAPLG00000029839.1)
Source: RNAcentral
GUCCUAUGACCUGCCUCAUAAAUAACUUACUGCAAAAAUAAAACAUGGAAAUGUCAAUAUUAUCAUAGUGUGACUCGACUGUCAUAUUUAACAAAGGAUUCCAAAUAAAUAAAUAAAUAAAUAAAAACAAUACAUAAGCAUGUCUGUAAUGAUAUAUACCAAGACAAUUUGACAUAUCCAGGACAUGUCAGCUUUAUUGGGCAAAUUUUAUGGCCAUUUCUUUAGGAUUUAAAGGUGCUGGUAACUUGGUCUGAAUGCCCAUAUGAAUGUAUACUAUCUUUUUGCAAGGGAAAAGGCCAAAUGGAGGGAGACCUUGGUAUUUGGUAACUCUGGAAGUCUGCUGUAAUAGCUUAGUAACAGUUUAGUCAACAUCCAUCCUCUGCUAAAUAAAACUAUCCUCUACUCAUAAAUUCCAUCAUCUGCUAAAAGUGGUUUUAUCACAGGGUUGGAGCACCUCUCUGAUGAAGAAAGGGAGAUUCUGCACUGAACCUUUGUCCAUGUAUCUGACCAACUUGCUAGAUGGCCAGAAGGCACAGGGCUGGAAAAAAGGAAACUGCCCUAUCAAGCAAACUGUGGGUAGGUGCAGUCUCUGUGAUUUGAUUCUUAUGAUUAUCUCCUGGUAUUUGUUAGGUGACGUUUCCCAGCAAUGUUGCUUUUUUUUUAAGAGAUGGAAACAGGACAACAAAGUAAGGAAAACUGAAGCCUCUGUUCAGCUCUGA